ACAUAAACAUCGUUGCGAAUACACGCGUCUUCUCAUCAGGGUGCAGAAUGUGUUUGUAUAAAGUUCGGUGCCGCAUAUAAACAUGCAUAUCAGUACAGUGGUUUGAACAACGAAAUCGAUAUCUCAAGCCCUGAUAAGUCCCGUAAGUUAUCGGAUAAUAGGGGGGGGUUUGUUUCCAAUAUCCGUCCAGCCACGAGGCUGGCGAAUGUGACGGGGAAUUGCGGGGAUUCGCAUCGCGUCGCAAUGGUUAAAUAAUUGUAAACAGUCCUUGCCUUAUCCACAGAGCGCUCGCAGCUCGGUGGGGGCGACGAGGAGCGCGAAGCGGUCUAGCAGAGUAAGGAAUCAAAUAGUGGAGGGGGAAACGCCGUCAUGGCUGACAUGUGUGGAUUGUGUGGCCCGCAGGCGACGAAGUGAACAGGCGCGAGUGUUCCAGGUCCAUCCGCGUUGAAAACGCGCGUUUGUUAAGUGAAUAUGGAGAGAAAUGGGCCGGGGAUUGAACGUGGAAGUCGCUAGCGACCGACCGGCUGCCAGCCAGGGAGACAGAUGGGCGAAAUCUAACAGGAUGGAGCCCAGGGUGUGGAGAACUCGGCUCCGCGGCGUCGCGGGCAUCUGCCUGGUCUUGGCAUUGACGGGUAUCGUGUAUUUGGGAUACUUCUGCCCAGACCACGUUUGUGCCCUGACCAACCGUGACCUCAAGGAGUCCACGCGUCUCUCUGAGGGUUUCACAUCCGGGGUUGUCGACAGGAACUUCCAGGGUCACCCUUCCUUCAGACUUCAGAGCAUACAGGGCAGUCUCGCCUACGAGGAUGUCAUCAACAACACCUUUCAAUUCGACAUCAAUGCCCACGAUGUUAUGGUCUUUUUACACAUACAGAAAACUGGCGGUACAUUAUUUGGUAAACACCUGGUGCGCGAUUUGGACCUGCAAAGACCGUGCUCGUGUCAUAGGAGGCGAAAACGUUGCUCCUGUUUUCGUCCAAACCGGAACGAGAAUUGGUUAUUUUCCCGGUAUUCAACAGGCUGGAAGUGCGGCCUGCAUGCUGAUUGGACGGAAUUGACGAAUUGCGUUGAUUCAGAAUUAAAUAAGAUAGAACCAGAGGGAGUGAAGAGAAGAUAUUUUUACAUAACAAUCAUCAGAGAUCCGGUAGCGAGAUAUUUGUCGGAGUUCAGACAUGUGCAACGAGGUGCCACGUGGCGAGGAGCAAGACAUUGGUGCGGCGGCAUUCAGGCUAACAUACCUCAAUGUUAUUCCGAGCCAAAUUGGCAAGGAGUUACGUUAGAAGAGUUCAUGCAGUGUCCUCACAACUUGGCAAGUAAUCGUCAGACUCGGAUGCUGGCUGACCUAUCCAUCAUAGGAUGCUACAACUCGACGCUAAAUCGAACUGAGAGAGAUCGUCUCAUGCUUGAAAGUGCCCAGCGUAAUUUAUUAUCCAUGCCGUUCUUCAUGCUUACUGAGUACCAAAAGAGCAGACGGCAUCUCGACCGUAUUACAAUGAUGACAGAUCGUAAAAUUGGACGCGCCGCCGCUUCGCUUUAUGGAGGUACAUGGAUAGGAGUACAAAAGAAUGCGCCAUGGAAAUGAUUCAGCUGGAGGGAUUGGACGGGGAUUGGAAAUGCCUGCAACGAGGCGAUGAUCCCACAGUGGUUUUGUCGGGUCGGCUCAGAUUGAACCCUACCAACAACCAUGAAUCCGAAGAUCGUAAAGCCCGACAACGGAAUGCGAUACUAUCGCGUCAAGAUCUGCCCGAGAAACGAGCCGCGUUCCGUAUGCCGCACGUCAUGUCAGUCUCAACGCACUAAACGCUUCGAUUUCGUUCCAACAUCAACGACGUAAGCACUCAUCUUCGCUCCUGGAUUAAUGAAGGAUCCCGUCAACUGAUGCCAGGAUUUUGGCUUAAUGGCCGAUGGAUGACGCCGGAUUUAAAAUCGUCGCUUACGGAUUAUGCCGACGAUUUUAAGCAGAAUCAGCUAGUCGAAUUCCUCAGUCUGGAAACAACCGCGCAGCAGAGAGGACGUAUGAAAAUCGCGCUCCGCAGCUUUCGAGUACCAUGUUCUUUACUUCCUGGAUCCUGCGCUCCAGAUGCGCUACCUGGUGAAACUCCACUUCAGGAAUGAGCGCUCCAUAGUUUCCGCGCUUCAGGUCCGCUACCUGGUGAAACUCGACUUCAGGGACAAGCGCUCCGUAGUUUCUACGCUCCAGGUCUGCUACCUGAUGAAACUCGACUCUCGGAGGACAAGGAAGACAAGGAGAACAAGGUGGACGAAGAGAACGAGGAUUUCUGCACGGUCGUUAUCGGUGGGUGUUGGAGGUGGUCUGAGGUGAACAAGAAGGAGGACGAGGAAGACGUGGAGAACAAGGUGGGGGAGGAGUACGAGGAUUUGUGCUCGGUACAACCCAAGGUGGUUAUCGGUGGUCGUCGGUGGUCGUUGGAGGUGGUCGGAGGUGGACGAGGAGGAGG
This 2459-nucleotide unclassified non-coding RNA is filed under the name Neodiprion lecontei (redheaded pine sawfly). RNAcentral's name for it is "heparan-sulfate 6-O-sulfotransferase 1, transcript variant X7". The record is from RNAcentral. Lineage: Eukaryota; Metazoa; Arthropoda; Insecta; Hymenoptera; Diprionidae.